GAUGAACGCUAGCGGCAGGCCUAAUACAUGCAAGGCGAAGGGGCAGCAAUGUCACUGUCGUACGGGUGCGUAACGCGUAUGCAACCUACCUAUCACAGGGGAAUAGCCUUUGGAAACAGGGAUUAAUACCGCAUAAAGCAGGGACACCGCAUGGUGAUAUUGCUAAAGAUUUAUCGGUGAUAGAUGGGCAUGCGUCUGAUUAGUUAGUUGGCAGGGUAACGGCCUACCAAGACGAUGAUCAGUAGGGGGCGUCAGAGCGUGGUUCCCCCACACUGGCACUGAGAUACGGGCCAGACUCCUACGGGAGGCAGCAGUAGGGAAUAUUGGGCAAUGGAUGCAAGUCUGACCCAGCCAUGCCGCGUGCAGGAAGAAGGUCCUCUGGAUUGUAAACUGCUUUUAUCGGGAAGAAUAGUUUUCUUGCGAGGGAAUGUGACGGUACCCGAUGAAUAAGCCACGGCUAACUACGUGCC
Molecule: ribosomal RNA, 470 nt
Filed under: uncultured bacterium
Lineage: Bacteria
Description: bacterial SSU rRNA
Rfam family: Bacterial small subunit ribosomal RNA
Source: RNAcentral